Molecule: ribosomal RNA, 468 nt
Filed under: uncultured bacterium
Lineage: Bacteria
Description: partial 16S ribosomal RNA
Rfam family: Bacterial small subunit ribosomal RNA
Source: RNAcentral
GACGAACGCUGGCGGCGUGCUUAACACAUGCAAGUCGAGCGGAAAGGCCAGGAGCUUGCGGCUCGGACGUGAGGCGAACGGGGGAGUAAAACGUGAGUAUAAUGCCCUUAUCUGUGGGAUAACUUUUGGAAACAGGGGCGAUUACAGGAUAGGAGCUCCUGAUGCAUGGGGGUGGUAGGUAAGAGUCGUCGGUGGGGGAUGGACUAGAGGCAUAUUAGCUUGUUGAGGGGGUAGUGGCGGACAAAGGUUAUGACGGGUAGCAGGCCUGAGAGGGUGACCGGGCACAAUGGGACUGCGAUACGGCCCAGAAUCGUACGGGAGGCAGCAGUGGAGAGUAUUGCACAAUGGCCGGAAGCCAGAUGUAGCGACGCCGCGUGCGGGAUGACGGGCUUCGAGUGGUAAACCGAUUUGUCCUGUGAUGAGGAGAGAGUGACGGUAAUGGGUAAAGAAGCCACGGCUAACUACGUG